RNAcentral lists this ribosomal RNA (440 nucleotides) under uncultured bacterium. RNAcentral's name for it is "bacterial SSU rRNA". It matches the Rfam family "Bacterial small subunit ribosomal RNA", at positions 338 to 795 of the family's 1533-position model. The record is from RNAcentral.
CCUACGGGUCGCAGCAGUGGGGAAUAUUGGACAAUGGGCGAAAGCCUGAUCCAGCAAUGCCGCGUGUGUGGAGAAGGUCUUCGGAUUGUAAAGCACUUUCGACGGGGACGAUGAUGACGGUACCCGUAGAAGAAGCCCCGGCUAACUUCGUGCCAGCAGCCGCGGUAAUACGAAGGCGGUUAGCGUUGCUCGGAAUGACUGGGCGUAAAGGGCGCGUAGGCGGUUUAUGCAGUCAGAUGUGAAAUCCCCGGGCUUAACCUGGGAACUGCAUUUGAGACGCAUAGACUAGAGGUCGAGAGAGGCGUGUGGAAUUCCCAGUGUAGAGGUGAAAUUCGUAGAUAUUGGGAAGAACACCGGUGGCGAAGGCGGCAACCUGGCUCGAUACUGACGCUGAGGCGCGAAAGCGUGGGGAGCAAAUAGGAUUAGAUACCCCUGUAGUC